Molecule: long non-coding RNA, 205 nt
Filed under: Capsicum annuum
Lineage: Eukaryota; Viridiplantae; Streptophyta; Magnoliopsida; Solanales; Solanaceae
Description: long non-coding RNA (CANN_LNC005862)
Source: RNAcentral
GGGAAACUAAAUUUAAAAAGCAAAAAAGCAAUUUAAAAAAUCUAGUCAUUCGGCCAAAAAUGAAAAGAAAAAAAGGGAUGUAGCAACUGGCUCCGAAUCCAGAUCAUCUCGCACACAAGAGAGGCAGUAAGCAACAAAUUCUAAAUGUGCCCCUAAUCUGCUUUUGUGUCUAACUGUGCCGAGUGAACCGUGUGGUCGUUUCUCA